Molecule: long non-coding RNA, 2303 nt
Organism: Marmota monax (woodchuck)
Lineage: Eukaryota; Metazoa; Chordata; Mammalia; Rodentia; Sciuridae
Exons: 3
Source: RefSeq, a predicted model, not a curated record
AACCAGCCUUUGACUAACACCUCAAAGUGAUUUGGACUCCAGUAGCUCUGAAGAAUUCUAUCAAGCUGUUCAUCAUGCUGAGCAAACCUUCAGAAAGACAGUAAGUUACUUGAAGCAGAAGCAACUAACUCUGUAAUGUUAUCCUGAUUCCUGGGAACUGAAAGAUACCUGCACACAGUAAUGGAGAUUUAAUCCAGUGACACUCUACCACUGAGCUGUACCCCAGCCAUUGUAAUUUUUUUAUAUUGAGACUGGGUCUUUCUAAGCUGCUUUGAAACUUGUGAUGCUCCUGUCUUAUCCUCCCUAGACCUGGGAUUACAGGAAAAGAAGAUAAUUUUCUGGAAUCUAGAAGGGAAGAAUUCAGAAUAUUAAGGGGUUGAAGAUUGCCAGGCUUAUAUUCCCACAUCCUAAUUCGACUGACAGCAUCACAUUCUUUCCCUAUCAAUUAUGUGGUUUUUCCUUGAAAACAAAUUGAUGUAUUUUUAAUCAUUAAUCUUACCGUUAUAAUUGUGGAACUUUGGAUAUUUCACUUUAGCCCUAAUUAGUUUUACUUUCUUCAUAUGUGAACAUUAUAUAUUAUAAUUUAGGUAAAUUGCAUCCUUUAAUUACUAAUCUGUUAUAAAUUAUAAUCUCUUUCUCCCUCUCUUGUUACACAUAUUAUCUACAUCAUUUCUAAAUCUUCUGUAUUAAUUUGUUUCUCUAAGUAUAGAACUUUGUUUUCUUUGUUUUAUAGAGUCAUUUCAGAUAUUACACUGUUUUAGCUGAAUCCUAUAAGAUCAUUGAUAAUAUGUGUAGUAACUCAAUCAAAAGUAUUUCAUGCUGCUGAAAUCUCAUAAUAUGGCAAAUUAAUGUUACCAUUAAUAUUUUAAUUUAUGGUAACAAUAGUAAUAUGUGUAAUUACUCACUAAGGAUCUAAAUUCAACACUGUAUAUUUGUGUAUCAAGAGCUUUAGGGCAUACCAAGUAGAUAAAAUGUGGUCCUUUAUAUAAAACUACUUGAUAGAGGGCUGGGGUUGUAGCUCAACAGUAGAGCGCUAGCCUAGCUUGUGUGAGGCCCUGGGUUUGAUCCUCAGUACCACAAAAAAAUAAAUAACAUAAAGGUAUUGUGUCCAACUACAACUAAAAAAAAUAAUAAAAGAAAUACUUGAUAGAAAACUAUAUAACUUUUUAUAUCAGUUUCAUUUGUAUUUCAUAAACUAGAUACAAGAGUGGUUAUAGUGAUGAGAGAUGUACUUUGGACUGAUUUCUUUCUGCAUUUUGGUAGGAUGAAAUAAAAGUAAAUUAAAUUUAUUAAAUUAUAAGGAAAAAUAUUGGAUUUGUGGAUAACAUAUACUUACUAUCAAGCAAUUAGAUGUCAAAAUAUUCCACUAGGACAAUGACACAAACUUGAAAUGACAGUUAAGCCCUUAUUUACAUACUGGACAGUGGAGGCAAGAGAAAAAGGUUGUGUUGGCUUCUUAUUGUCCCAUGUUUCCCCAAAGGCCAGCACCAGUGGCAGUCAGUUAGAAGAGCAAAAACGAGGUAAACUGUUUCACUGCCAAAUAGCACUGAAUAAAAGAUUCUUUAUAUGAUGGAACCAUGAGUUAUGGAGGAAGUGAUCAGGAAAGACUAACGAUAAAAAGAAUAGAGAAAAAGCUAGAAGCAGUGGUCCAGGCAACCCCUGAUGGAGGAAGACUGACGACGAGCAAGCUUGGUACGUUUAUUAUAUAGGUUUAAACAUCAAAAGGACUUAUUGUGAGAAAGUUUCUUCAAAGCAAGAAGAGUCAAGGUCAUGAGUAUGAGCAGCCUGAUUAUGAUUAUCAGCUUAUGCCCAUAAUUUCUACCCCUGAGCAGCUGGCAUCUGAACCUCAAGGACAAGAACCGAAUAGCUCCGUGGCUGUACAGAACCUCCUAUUGGGCAGGGCAUCAGCAUAGCAAUUGGGAUACCUAGAUUGGUGCCUUUGCACUGAGAGUUCUUCUGAGGGGCAUCACCUCUGUCAUAGGACAGUUUGGGACCUGUAAUUCAAUCACUGAUCCCAACACUUAAGGUUCUAGAGAUCAAAUCGAGGGCCAUAUGUUUGCUAUGUGUUUUACCACUGAGCUACUUCUUGAUCCUUCCAGGCCCACACAAGAAGCACCCAGAAGUUGCCCAUUGUGGACUCAAAUGACUCAGACAUUUGUAGGGCCAAAAACUAAGAUGGCACCUGGCUAAAUGCCAGUAGAAGGACACUGAAGUUGUUUUGAAACCUCCCUGAUUGGCUUACUUCUCUUCCGUGCUUGUGCACAGCUUGUGCUCUUCAUUAGAAACUAUGGUAUGGGUAUACA